Molecule: long non-coding RNA, 223 nt
Filed under: Phaseolus vulgaris (common bean)
Lineage: Eukaryota; Viridiplantae; Streptophyta; Magnoliopsida; Fabales; Fabaceae
Description: long non-coding RNA (PVUL_LNC003843)
Source: RNAcentral
AUAAACUAGCCAAUAGGGGGUACACUUAGAUAAUUUGUUGUGUGUUAUGUUUGGUAAAGUUGAGGAAUCCGCUAGCUAGUCACCUCUUCCUAACAUGUGAAGUGACUUCAGUAGUGUGGAACUUAUGCUAUAGGUGGAUUGUGGAAAACAUGAUUCAAUAUAACAACGUAAAAAAUCACUUAAGUCAAUUCAGGUUAAUCAAAUUAUUAGAAUCCGAGAAUAA